UCGUCGUGGCUUCAAAGUGCCACGUUUGGC
Molecule: non-coding RNA, 30 nt
Filed under: Homo sapiens (human)
Lineage: Eukaryota; Metazoa; Chordata; Mammalia; Primates; Hominidae
Source: RNAcentral